GACGAACGCUGGCGGCGUGCUUAACACAUGCAGGUCGAACGGAAAGGCCCUGCUUUUGUGGGGUGCUCGAGUGGCGAACGGGUGAGUAACACGUGAGUAACCUGCCCUUGACUUUGGGAUAACUUCAGGAAACUGGGGCUAAUACCGGAUAGGAGCUCCUGCUGCAUGGUGGGGGUUGGAAAGUUUCGGCGGUUGGGGAUGGACUCGCGGCUUCUCAGCUGGUUGGUGGGGUAGUGGCUUACCAAGGCUUUGACGGGUAGCCGGCCUGAGAGGGUGACCGGCCACAUUGGGACUGAGAUACGGCCCAGACUCCUACGGGAGGCAGCAGUGGGGAAUAUUGCACAAUGGGCGGAAGCCUGAUGCAGCAACGCCGCGUGCGGGAUGACGGCCUUCGGGUUGUAAACCGCUUUCGCCUGUGACGAAGCGUGAGUGACGGUAAUGGGUAAAGAAGCACCGGCUAACUACGUG
RNAcentral lists this ribosomal RNA (468 nucleotides) under uncultured bacterium. RNAcentral's name for it is "partial 16S ribosomal RNA". It matches the Rfam family "Bacterial small subunit ribosomal RNA", at positions 28 to 507 of the family's 1533-position model. The record is from RNAcentral.